AUGUUGCUCUCUUCAACCCAUCUUCUUGUUUUGUCAGGAUCGUGUUCUUUUCAUGCUUAUCCAUUUAACCGGAGUGUUGUGUCCUAUGCUCAAGUUCUUUUCAUCUUAUCAAGUCUUGCAUCACUUUUCAACCGGAGUGCUGCCCGAAUUUGUUCUUCCUUGUUCCUCUUUCCUAACGGAGUGUUUUCAACUUCGUUCAUCUCCAUUGUAUUCUUUUCUCGAAAUUGUUUAACAUCUCAAGGUUCUUUGGUUUCACUCGUUUGUCAAAGAAGCAACUUUGUUUUACCUCUUCAUAUUUCGUUUUUUCUCCGGUGCCUUCCUAGAUCUCGGGACGAGAUCCUCUUGUAG
RNAcentral lists this ribosomal RNA (348 nucleotides) under Triticum aestivum (bread wheat). RNAcentral describes it as "partial small subunit ribosomal RNA". The record is from RNAcentral. Lineage: Eukaryota; Viridiplantae; Streptophyta; Magnoliopsida; Poales; Poaceae.